GACAGGGGAUGCAAGCGUUAUCCGGAAUGAUUGGGCGUAAAGCGUCUGUAGGUGGCUUUUUAAGUCUGCCGUCAAAUCCCAGGGCUCAACCCUGGCCAGGCGGUGGAGACUACUAAGCUGGAGUACGGUAGGGGCAGAGGGAAUUUCCGGUGUAGCGGUGAAAUGCGUAGAGCUCGGGAAGAACAUCGGUGGCGAAAGCGCUCUGCUGGACUGCAACUGACACUCAGGGACGAAAGCUAGGGGAGCGAAUGGG
Molecule: ribosomal RNA, 253 nt
Filed under: uncultured prokaryote
Description: partial 16S ribosomal RNA
Rfam family: Bacterial small subunit ribosomal RNA
Source: RNAcentral